UUCCUACGGGAGGCAGCAGUGAGGAAUAUUGGACAAUGGGCGGGAGCCUGAUCCAGCCAUGCCGCGUGCAGGAAGACUGCCCUAUGGGUUGUAAACUGCUUUUGUACAGGAAGAAACACUCCCUCGUGAGGGAGCUUGACGGUACUGUAAGAAUAAGGAUCGGCUAACUCCGUGCCAGCAGCCGCGG
RNAcentral lists this ribosomal RNA (187 nucleotides) under uncultured Formosa sp. Its description in RNAcentral is "partial 16S ribosomal RNA". It matches the Rfam family "Bacterial small subunit ribosomal RNA", at positions 336 to 520 of the family's 1533-position model. The record is from RNAcentral. Lineage: Bacteria; Pseudomonadati; Bacteroidota; Flavobacteriia; Flavobacteriales; Flavobacteriaceae.